Molecule: long non-coding RNA, 1367 nt
Filed under: Homo sapiens (human)
Lineage: Eukaryota; Metazoa; Chordata; Mammalia; Primates; Hominidae
Description: HSALNT0153291
Source: RNAcentral
GCUAUGUUACAUUGAAUGGCAAAAGUGACUUUGUAGAGCAGACAGUUGGCUUAGCAACUCUGAGUGGUGGGCUCAACAGAAGAACAAGCUGAUAGAAGUCCUUGGGCUCUGAGGCUCCAUUCUAAUCAAAGUACUUCUCCAACCAGAGGACUUCCAUUGAUCAAUAGCCACUCAGAUGUUCUGUGUUUGCCAUGAGUAUCGGACUUCAGUCUUCUGGAAAGAUGGCUGUGGUGCCUAAACACAUCUGUGCCUGGCCUCACCCGCGGGUGUCGUUUAUCCGGAUGCUGCAUGAUUAAGACCACCAUACUCUUAUCAAGCAUACAGGUGUUAAUGUCUAUUUUAAAGAGGAGAGAACUCAAGAAGUUCUGUAGAAACUGCUUUCUUCAUCAUAUCUCAAAGGAUUUGCUGAGGAUUUCAGAGGUGCCACGAGUUGAGAGAAGUGAGCCAAAAAAACUCAUCUGAAGUGUUUGGACAGAUGAAAUCAAUGGCUGCUGAUUAAAUGAGAGGCACACAGCAAGUACACUGUAAAAUAAUUAAAUAGUAAUUGAAAAUACCUGCAGAAAGUUUGAUUAGCAUCUGAGGAACUAACAAAAGUAGCCAGAUAAUAACAAAUGCAUUUCCAAAGCCUGUUUAAUUCUAUCAAUGUACCUUAGUAAAUAUGUAGUUAGUCUCAUUAAACGAAUUAAUGUAAAUGCAUUAAACUUUUCACAGUAAAAGUAGUGUUUUGGAAAACCUUGGGUGUACCCGAAGUUAUUUUCCUUGGGGUUCCAUAGGAAUGGGUUUAACCUAUAUUUUGGAAAUGUUUUAAUUACUGUAUUCGACUCAUUAUGUCAUAUUUUGCAAAACUGAUAAAGUUAAAAUGACAUUUUUAUUACAUGAAUUCAAAUUAUAGACAUAGAGAUGUUUCAGGUAGCCAGGUUCUAUAAAGAAUAUUCCAAAAUAUUGUCUUGAAGCCCAGUGUAAUUGAAAAUUAUAUCAUUGAACUCUGUCAAAAUAAAGGCACCAAUCUGUAUAAAAUACAAAGUUAAGUAUAUAACUAUGUAUAAAAAAGAGUAAAAAUGUUCUAGGCAUGAUAUAAGAAAGUCAAAGAUUUAAGAAGUAGCAGAGAAUUUCAAAUAUAGUUGGACAAAGGCAGCAAUCAGCUAAUGAUGGCACUUUUACAUGCUCAGACAAUGAGAAUAUUAUUAAGACCUCAAAUCCCAAAAUAAACAAAUUGUUUCCCACUUAAUGAAAUUACAGCCUGUGAUAUGGAUUUUCAAGGAUAUGAGCAAGAAGACAGAACAAAAUGAGCCAAGAUCAAGAUAUAUGUAUCAGAGACCCGGGGAGAAAGGAUGAAAAUUACAAUCUCAAGAAACAACAUAAACAUG